CUCGUAGUCUGAAUUGACCAGUAAUGGUCUUGUGUAUAUUUACGUUCACUGUGAACAAAUCAGGACGCUUAGAGUAUGGUUACAGGAAUGACCNAACGCAGUAUGAUAUCUUUGUUUUUUUCGGAAAACAAGCUCAAAGAGAGCCAUCGGGGGUAGAUCUAUCCCAUGACGAGUGGUGGAAUACGGUGACUCAUGGGAGAGAAUCGGAGGCGAAGGCGUCUACCUAGAGGGUUUCUGUCGAUCAAGGGCGAGAGUAGGAGUAUCCAACAGGAUUAGAGACCCUGGUAGUUCCUACUGUAAACGAUGCCGACAGGAGUUUGUCAUUUGCUAAUGGCAGAAUCUUUAGAGAAAUCAUAGUUCUUGGGCUCUGGGGGAACUACGACCGCAAGGCUGAAACUUGAAGGAAUUGACGGAAGGGCACACCAGGGGUGGAGCCUGUGGCUUAAUUUGAAUCAACACGGGGAAACUUACCAGGACCAGAUGUUUUUUAUGACUGACAGGCUUAAGGUCUUUCAGGAUAUGAUUUUUGGUGGUGCAUGGCCGUUGGUGGUGCGUGGGUUGACCU
This 565-nucleotide ribosomal RNA is filed under the name Tetratrichomonas gallinarum. RNAcentral's name for it is "SSU rRNA". It matches the Rfam family "Eukaryotic small subunit ribosomal RNA", at positions 707 to 1312 of the family's 1831-position model. Lineage: Eukaryota; Parabasalia; Trichomonadida; Trichomonadidae. The record is from RNAcentral.